RNAcentral lists this small RNA (46 nucleotides) under Desulfomonile tiedjei DSM 6799. RNAcentral's name for it is "Acido-Lenti-1 RNA". It matches the Rfam family "Acido-Lenti-1 RNA". The record is from Rfam by way of RNAcentral. Lineage: Bacteria; Pseudomonadati; Thermodesulfobacteriota; Desulfomonilia; Desulfomonilales; Desulfomonilaceae.
CCCGGCAAUAAAUUACCGGGCUAUUUUCUUCCGUCCCUACGGGACG